RNAcentral lists this ribosomal RNA (274 nucleotides) under uncultured bacterium. RNAcentral's name for it is "partial 16S ribosomal RNA". It matches the Rfam family "Bacterial small subunit ribosomal RNA", at positions 523 to 796 of the family's 1533-position model. The record is from RNAcentral.
AGACGGAGGGGGCUAGCGUUAUUCGGAAUUACUGGGCGUAAAGGGCGCGUAGGCGGAUUAGUAAGUUGGGAGUGAAAGCCCGGGGCUUAACCUCGGAACUGCUUUCAAAACUGCUAGUCUUGAGUGAAGUAGGGGGUGAUGGAAUUCCUAGUGUAGAGGUGAAAUUCUUAGAUAUUAGGAGGAACACCGGUGGCGAAGGCGGUCACCUGGACUUCAACUGACGCUGAGGCGCGAAAGCGUGGGGAGCAAACAGCAUUAGAUACCCUAGUAGUCC